UAUCUUUGCACCCGCUACUCAAACGACUUGAGUACGUACAUAAAAAUUAUUUAUACAAUAUUGGCAUG
RNAcentral lists this non-coding RNA (68 nucleotides) under unclassified sequences. RNAcentral's name for it is "S15-Flavobacteria ribosomal protein leader". It matches the Rfam family "S15-Flavobacteria ribosomal protein leader". The record is from RNAcentral.